AGAAUCAACGCUGGCGGCGUGCCUAACACAUGCAAGUCGAACGAGAAAGUGGGAGCAAUCCCAUUAGUAAAGUGGCGCACGGGUGAGUAACACGUGACUAACCUACCCUUGAGUGGGGGGAUAACCUAGGGAAACCUGGGCUAAUACCGCAUAAUACCUACGGGUCAAAGGAGCAAUUCGCUUUAGGAGGGGGUCGCGGCAGAUUAGUUAGUUGGCGGGGUAAUGGCCCACCAAGACAGUGAUCUGUAUCCGGCCUGAGAGGGCGCACGGACACACUGGAACUGAAACACGGUCCAGACUCCUACGGGAGGCAGCAGUGGGGAAUUUGCGCAAUGGGGGAAACCCUGACGCAGCAACGCCGCGUGGAGGAUGAAGCCCCUUGGGGCGUAAACCUCCUUUCGAUCGGGAAGAUAAUGACGGUACCGGAAGAAGAGCCCCGGCUAACUUCGUGCCAGCAGCCGC
Molecule: ribosomal RNA, 462 nt
Filed under: uncultured bacterium
Lineage: Bacteria
Description: SSU rRNA
Rfam family: Bacterial small subunit ribosomal RNA
Source: RNAcentral